The sequence is a regulatory RNA element, 83 nucleotides long. It matches the Rfam family "HIV gag stem loop 3 (GSL3)". Rfam says of the family: This family consists of several HIV gag stem loop 3 (GSL3) sequences. The record is from Rfam.
GCCCUCCGGAAAAAAGAAAUACCAGCUGAAACACAUAAUAUGGGUAAGCAAGGAACUAGACAGAUUUGGCCUUCAUGAAAAGC